Molecule: long non-coding RNA, 188 nt
Organism: Poecile atricapillus (Black-capped chickadee)
Lineage: Eukaryota; Metazoa; Chordata; Aves; Passeriformes; Paridae
Exons: 3
Source: RefSeq, a predicted model, not a curated record
GCGUUUCAGUGCCCAUCACCACAUUACCCAGGCGCCACCAGAAGAUUAAGAAGCUUUGCAGUGACAUUCUCAACAAGAUAUUUACCUGGAUUUUGCCACUGGUCCCGUGGCCACAGCUGAAGGGAAAUUCCCCUCUCUGGUGUCACCCAGCCAGGAAUCUGUGGAUCAGAAGAUCAGGAAGGCACUGA